AACCAUAGAAACCUGCGGAGUACCUGCGGAGGGAUCAUUACAGAGUUGCAAAACUCCCUAAACCAUUGUGAACCUACCACUAAACAGUUGCUUCGGCGGGUGGCAGCGAGGAGGUCCCCCCCCGCGGGGGGCUCCCGAGCGCGCCCUAGACAGCCCGCCGGAGGUACCCAAACUCUUGUUUAACUAAAGGCCUCUCUGAGUACUGUACUUAAAUAAGUCAAAACUUUUAACAAUGGAUCU
This 240-nucleotide unclassified non-coding RNA is filed under the name soil metagenome. Its description in RNAcentral is "partial contains 5.8S ribosomal RNA, internal transcribed spacer 2, and large subunit ribosomal RNA". The record is from RNAcentral.